CUUCGGUUGAUCCUGCCGGAGGUUACUGCUAUCUGUGUUCGACUAAGCCAUGCAAGUCAUAUGUUCCUCGUGAACAUGGCAUACUGCUCAGUAACACGUGGAUAACCUGCCCUUGGGUCUGGGAUAACCCCGGGAAACUGGGGAUAAUACCGGAUGACGCAUAUGUGCUGGAAUGCUUUAUGCGUAAAACGGAUUCGUCCGCCCAAGGAUGGGUCUGCGGCCUAUCAGGUAGUAGUGGGUGUAAUGUACCUACUAGCCAACAACGGGUACGGGUUGUGAGAGCAAGAGCCCGGAGAUGGAUUCUGAGACAUGAAUCCAGGCCCUACGGGGCGCAGCAGGCGCGAAAACUUUACAAUGCGGGAAACCGUGAUAAGGGAACACCGAGUGCCAUCAUCAUAUGCUGGCUGUCCAGAUGUGUAAACUACAUCUGUUAGCAAGGGCCGGGCAAGACCGGUGCCAGCCGCCGCGGUAACACCGGCGGCCCGAGUGGUGACCGUUAUUAUUGGGACUAAAGGGUCCGUAACCGGU
Molecule: ribosomal RNA, 528 nt
Filed under: uncultured archaeon
Lineage: Archaea
Description: bacterial SSU rRNA
Rfam family: Archaeal small subunit ribosomal RNA
Source: RNAcentral